AGGGUUCGAUUCUGGCUCAGGAUGAACGCUAGCGGCAGGCUUAACACAUGCAAGUCGAGGGGCAGCGUGGAGUAGCAAUACUCUGACGGCGACCGGCGAAAGGGUGAGUAACGCGUGAGCAACAUGCCCGUAGUUGGGGGAUAGUCGAUGGAAACGUCGCGUAAUACCCCGUAACAACAGAGGCCGCAUGACCUUUGUUUAAGAGAUUUAUUGUCUACGGAUUGGCUCGCGUACCAUUAGCUAGUUGGCGGGGUAACGGCCCACCAAGGCGACGAUGGUUAGGGGUUCUGAGAGGAAGGUCCCCCCACAUUGGAACUGAGACACGGUCCAGACUCCUACGGGAGGCAGCAGUGAGGAAUAUUGGUCAAUGGCCGAGAGGCUGAACCAGCCAUGCCGCGUGCGGGAUGACGGCCCUAUGGGUUGUAAACCGCUUUUGUUGGGGAGCAAUAAGGUUCACGUGUGGACUGAUGAGAGUACCCAGCGAAUAAGCAUCGGCUAACUCCGUGCCAGCAGCUGC
Molecule: ribosomal RNA, 517 nt
Filed under: uncultured bacterium
Lineage: Bacteria
Description: bacterial SSU rRNA
Rfam family: Bacterial small subunit ribosomal RNA
Source: RNAcentral